AACAAAUGACCUAACACCGCACCAACAAGGAAAACGAAAGGAAAAAAGAACAGAAGCUUUUACCGAUGAUGUUCAUGUAAAGAGUCUCCUUUUCUUCUUCCUCUUUCUCCUCUUCGUUUUUCCUAGUCAUCUCUUGUGAUUUAAAGUAGCCCUGAAAUCCAUCUAAGCCUACUAAUCGGUUAAAUGUCUUGGUGUUACUUUCUGAAUCAUUUUUGGGGGACAUCUCGUCCACUUGAUGGAUGAUGACCAUUCCAAUGAACAGUAAUUUAAAUCAUUCAUCUUGGGAGCGAGUUCAGCACCUCUACAACAAGAAUGUUGAGUUGGGGAGUAAACGGAGAAAAGACGCACAAGCUAAAGUUCCUUCUGAUCCAAGUGCAUGGUAACAAAUGCGAGAAAACUACGAAAUUAUGAUCCUUGAGGAUCAUGUUUUCUCUGAACAACAUGAAAUAGAGUAUGCCCUGUGGCAGUUGCAUUACAGGAGAAGUGAGGAAUUGUGGGCACACUUCAAUGCUGUUGCAAAUUCUAGUGGAUUAACCAAUGGAAAGGUUCUCUCUAAUGGUGGACCAGAUCGCAUCACAAAGAUCCGAACGCAGUUUAAAACUUUUCUUUCAGAAGCAAUAGUUUUUUAUCAUGAUUUGAUGUUAAAAAUUAGGUCCAAGUAUGGUCUUCCACUGGGAUAUUUCUCUGAUGAUCCAGAGAAUCAAAUUCCUUACUCUAAAGACGGUAACAAGUCUGUGGAGUUGAAGAAAGGAUUGACAUCUUGCCAUCGUUGUUUAUCUUGGCGAUCUUGCUCGUUACAAAGGCUUAUAUGGUGAGGGAGAUUCUAAAGCUUGUGAUUUUGCGGCUGCUUCGAGUUAUUACCUGCAAGCUUCGUCACUUUGGACUUCAAGUGGUAAUCCUCAUCAUCAGCUUGCAGUACUGGCUUCCUAAUCCAAUGAUGAGCUGGUGGAUAUUUAUUGCUAUUUUCGCAAUCUUACAGUAGAAAGCCCUUUUGCCAUAGCAAUGUAUAACUUGAUCAUUGCAUUUGAGAAGGUAACCAACCUAUUGAGAAGACAUGUCAAGGUCUUGCUGGCAGCUAGGUUAAGAUCUUUGAGUGAACCCCCUAACCCCACCCAAAAAAAAUUGUAGGAUCAUGUCUUCUAGGUAUUGUUUACUGCAGACUGAAAUCAUGGCUUGGCGGGAUCUUGAGAGUGUAAGUAGUCUAUGUUACUUAUAGUCAGAUGCAGGAAAAGGUUAAAAAAAAACCAUCGUUUAGAAUGACUUAGAAUUAUGUCAUAUACAUCUGUUCUGUUUUUUUUCGUUUUAGAAAUGUGGUGAUGCUAUUGCAAAUAUCUUUUAGUAGUGUGGUGCUAAUUGUGGUACAUCUAUAAAUGAUUUUGGUAAAAGCUAAGGAUGUUGUACCAUAUGCUGUUCUAAUGUAGGGCCAUAUUGAAAUUUUAUGUAAAAGCAAACCAUAGACAGGAGGUGAAGUUGGUUUGUUGCUUGGAGGAAUUUUAGUUGUAUUCUAUAUGCAUAGAGCUGUACUAUGCCCUGUAUUAUGCUCAGUACUUGUGGCCUUUUCAAAAUAUGCCUCUAGUAAAAUUGUGACAUACAUGUGUAUCAUAUUCUGAACAAGAG
Long non-coding RNA from Capsicum annuum, 1617 nucleotides. RefSeq lists it as uncharacterized. The record is from RefSeq and is a predicted model, not a curated record. The transcript is spliced from 4 exons. NCBI's taxonomy places the organism in Eukaryota, Viridiplantae, Streptophyta, Magnoliopsida, Solanales, Solanaceae.